RNAcentral lists this ribosomal RNA (492 nucleotides) under uncultured bacterium. RNAcentral's name for it is "partial 16S ribosomal RNA". It matches the Rfam family "Bacterial small subunit ribosomal RNA", at positions 29 to 507 of the family's 1533-position model. The record is from RNAcentral.
AGUGAACGCUGGCGGUAGGCCUAACACAUGCAAGUCGAACGGCAGCACAGUAAGAGCUUGCUCUUACGGGUGGCGAGUGGCGGACGGGUGAGGAAUACAUCGGAAUCUACUUUUUCGUGGGGGAUAACGUAGGGAAACUUACGCUGAUACCGCAUACGACCUACGGGUGAAAGCAGGGGAUCUUCGGACCUUGCGCGAUUGAAUGAGCCGAUGUCGGAUUAGCUAGUUGGCGGGGUAAAGGCCCACCAAGGCGACGAUCCGUAGCUGGUCUGAGAGGAUGAUCAGCCACACUGGAACUGAGACACGGUCCAGACUCCUACGGGAGGCAGCAGUGGGGAAUAUUGGACAAUGGGCGCAAGCCUGAUCCAGCCAUACCGCGUGGGUGAAGAGGGCCUUCGGGUUGUAAAGCCCUUUUGUUGGGAAAGAAAAGCAGCAGGUUAAUACCCCGCUGUUCUGACGGUACCCAAAGAAUAAGCACCGGCUAACUUCGUG